GGUAAUACGGGAGUGGCAAGCGUUAUCCGGAAUUAUUGGGCGUAAAGCGUCCGCAGGCGGUCUUUAAGUCUGCUGUUAAAGCGUGGAGCUUAACUCCAUUUCGGCAGUGAAAACUGGAAGACUAGAGUGUGGUACGGGCAGAGGGAAUCCCGGUGUAGCGGUGAAAUGCGUAGAUAUCGGGAAGAACACCAGUGGCGAAGGCGCUCUGCUGGGCCAUAACUGACGCUCAUGGACGAAAGCCACGGGAGCGAAAGGGAUUAGAUACCCCUGUAGUCCUGGCCGUAAACGAUGAACACUAGGUGUCGGGGGAAUCGACCCCCUCGGUGUCGUAGCCAACGCGUUAAGUGUUCCGCCUGGGGAGUACGCACGCAAGUGUGAAACUCAAAGGAAUUGACGGGGGCCCGCACAAGCGGUGGAGUAUGUGGUUUAAUUCGAUGCAACGCGAAGAACCUUACCAGGGUUUGACAUCCUGCGAAUCCCUUGGAAACGAGGGAGUGCCUUCGGGAACGCAGUGACAGGUGGUGCAUGGCUGUCGUCAGCUCGUGUCGUGAGAUGUUGGGUUAAGUCCCGCAACGAGCGCAACCCACGUCGUUAGUUGCCAGCAUUCAGUUGGGCACUCUAGCGAGACCGCCGGUGAUAAACCGGAGGAAGGUGUGGAUGACGUCAAGUCAUCAUGCCCCUUACAUCCUGGGCUACACACGUACUACAAUGCUACGGACAAAGGGCAGCAGACUCGCGAGAGCUAGCAAAUCCCAUAAACCGUGGCUCAGUUCAGAUCGUAGGCUGCAACUCGCCUACGUGAAGGAGGAAUCGCUAGUAAUCGCAGGUCAGCAUACUGCGGUGA
Molecule: ribosomal RNA, 844 nt
Filed under: uncultured cyanobacterium
Lineage: Bacteria; Bacillati; Cyanobacteriota
Description: bacterial SSU rRNA
Rfam family: Bacterial small subunit ribosomal RNA
Source: RNAcentral